Molecule: RNA transcript, 496 nt
Organism: Arabidopsis thaliana (thale cress)
Lineage: Eukaryota; Viridiplantae; Streptophyta; Magnoliopsida; Brassicales; Brassicaceae
Exons: 1
Source: RefSeq
UAAGUUUCAAAAGCAUAUGAAAUCUUCGACUCAUCGAUUUUCAAAUCGGUAAGAAAGAGUCACCCGUCUCUAUAUUGUUCAGCCUCUAGGUUGUUGUAGGUGUUAGAAUUGAUUUUAGCGAGAGCUGUCCCAUCUGAUACAACAAACGUAACACAAAUUUCUUCGUAAUAGCCAUGAGAUUGGAGAUGACUGAAAAGAUUGGGAUUAGUAGACUAACGUCAAAACCAUGAGGAAGAAUGGGAGCAUUCUCAUAAUUGCUAAUCACUUAGAUUCUUCGACAAUCUUUCUUCAAUUUAUUUAUUUUAAUCUCUAAAACAAAACAAAAAAAUACAAAUCAAAAAUCAAUUUAUGGGUUAUUUUGAUUAUUUUCUAAAGAAAAUACCACAUAUAUUCUCCAUUUCGCUAGAUUCAGAUCAUUUUCUCUUUGUGAGGAUGAAUUUUUCGGAGGAUUCGAAGCAUUUAAUUUAGAUCAUUUUCUCUUUCUUGGGCCGGAGGA